This 270-nucleotide long non-coding RNA is filed under the name Carica papaya (papaya). RNAcentral describes it as "long non-coding RNA (CPAP_LNC008944)". The record is from RNAcentral. Lineage: Eukaryota; Viridiplantae; Streptophyta; Magnoliopsida; Brassicales; Caricaceae.
AUGAACUUUUCUUUCUGAAGAAGACAGCAAGUUGGGGAUUGAAAGAUCCCUGCCUUUAUAAUACUUGCUCUGUGGCUGCGAGAAACAGAUGGAGAGAAAGUAGUGAAGCCUCGCAAAUGGCGGGUUCAUGUGUUAUGGGUUAAAUUUUCCUCGCGGUUAGCCUGGUUUGCCGCUGUCCUGGUGAGCUUGUUUACAGCAAACAUUUGUUCCUUUUUUUUUCUUUUUUACUAAUUUGUGAAAUUAAAUACUGAAAAAUUACAGAUUAUAAUG